AAUAGACUACCCCGGUAGUCCACGCCGUAAACGUUGGGCGCUAGGUGUGGGGUCCGUUCCACGGGUUCCGUGCCGCAGCUAACGCAUUAAGCGCCCCGCCUGGGGAGUACGGCCGCAAGGCUAAAACUCAAAGGAAUUGACGGGGGCCCGCACAAGCGGCGGAGCAUGCGGAUUAAUUCGAUGCAACGCGAAGAACCUUACCAAGGCUUGACAUGGGCGGUAAUCCGGUAGAGAUGUCGGGUCCGUAAGGGCCGUUCACAGGUGGUGCAUGGUUGUCGUCAGCUCGUGUCGUGAGAUGUUGGGUUAAGUCCCGCAACGAGCGCAACCCUUGUUCCAUGUUGCCAGCACUUCGGGUGGGGACUCAUGGGAGACUGCCGGGGUCAACUCAGAGGAAGGUGGGGAUGACGUCAAAUCAUCAUGCCCCUUAUGUCUUGGGCUUCACGCAUGCUACAAUGGCCAGUACAAAGGGCUGCGAGACCGUGAGGUGGAGCGAAUCCCAAAAAGCUGGUCUCAGUUCGGAUCGGGGUCUGCAACUCGA
RNAcentral lists this ribosomal RNA (538 nucleotides) under uncultured bacterium. RNAcentral's name for it is "bacterial SSU rRNA". It matches the Rfam family "Bacterial small subunit ribosomal RNA", at positions 777 to 1315 of the family's 1533-position model. The record is from RNAcentral.